GGGGAGGUUCCCGAGUGGCCAAAGGGACCAGACUGUAAAUCUGGCGGAUGAAUCCUUCGGAGGUUCGAAUCCUCCCCUCCCCA
This 83-nucleotide transfer RNA is filed under the name bacterium. RNAcentral's name for it is "tRNA-Tyr". It matches the Rfam family "tRNA". From Rfam's summary of the family: Transfer RNA (tRNA) molecules are approximately 80 nucleotides in length. Their secondary structure includes four short double-helical elements and three loops (D, anti-codon, and T loops). The record is from RNAcentral.